CGCUCUAGCUGGGGGCACGGAGGGGACCCUAGGGUGCUCUCGACCUGACUCCUCGCUUCUUUCUCCCCGACUUCCGAAACAGGUUACCUUGUCCACGCUCUCCAGACCACGCUUUGGACUUUCUCACUUUUAUUUAAGAGUCCAUCCGGAGAAGGAGGGGAAAAAAUCCAGAGGAGAUCCGAAUCAAUUGGAAAGAAAAAAUUUCAAAAGGGUGUCCACAGCGACGAAAAAGCCCAGACUUUGCCGACCUUCAAACGACAACAAGGCUUUCAGGAGGGCGCGAGGAGACCGCUUCCCACCCAGAUCCGACCAGAAAACCGGCACCCUCGGCCACAUUCCCCCUCUUGCAGGCAGAGAGAACGCCACUCUACCACCGGAGGCCCCCUUCCUGGCGCUGGGCAAACACUCAGGCCCUUAAUGGCCACCGCAGGCCAGCCAGCGGCUCCCCUUUCUACACUCAGUCCUCCCCCCAGUACUUGAGAAGCUACCCCUGUGGCAAAACAUUGGCCAGGCAGCUCUUCCCAGCUCCUACCCCAACAGCUAAUAACAGACUGCAUUCCCUGCUCUGGUCAGUAAGUCACCCCAACAUCCCUCGUACCCCCUCAACUCCUUUUAGCAGAAGCUGCCUCUCCCCUUGGGAGAACUCAAAUGAAGACUUGCCCUCCUGUCUGA
Molecule: long non-coding RNA, 672 nt
Organism: Capra hircus (goat)
Lineage: Eukaryota; Metazoa; Chordata; Mammalia; Artiodactyla; Bovidae
Exons: 2
Source: RefSeq, a predicted model, not a curated record